Molecule: ribosomal RNA, 378 nt
Filed under: uncultured bacterium
Lineage: Bacteria
Description: bacterial SSU rRNA
Rfam family: Bacterial small subunit ribosomal RNA
Source: RNAcentral
GACGAACGCUGGCGGCGUGCUUAACACAUGCAAGUCGAGCGGUAAGGCCCUUUCGGGGGUACACGAGCGGCGAACGGGUGAGUAACACGUGGGUGACCUGCCUUUAGCUCUGGGAUAAGCCUGGGAAACCGGGUCUAAUACCGGAUAUGACUCCGCGGCGCAUGUUGUGGGGUGGAAAGCCUUGUGCGGCUGGAGAUGGGCCCGCGGCCUAUCAGCUUGUUGGUGGGGUGAUGGUCUACCAAGGCGACGACGGGUAGCCGGCCUGAGAGGGCGACCGGCCACACUGGGACUGAGACACGGCCCAGACUCCUACGGGAGGCAGCAGUGGGGAAUCUUGCGCAAUGGGCGAAGCCUGACGCAGCGACGCCGCGUGGGAGG